GGUGAACGCUGGCGGCAGGCCUAACACAUGCAAGUCGAACGGCCGCACAGUAAGCGCUUGCUCUUACGGGUGGCGGGUGGCGGACGGGUGAGGCAUACAUCGGAAUCUACUUUUUCGUGGGGGAUUACGUAGGGACACUUCCGCUAAUACCGCAUACGUCCUGCGGGUGAAAGCAGUGGAUCUUCGGACCUUGCGCGAUUGAAUGAGCCGAUGUCGGAUUAGCUAGUUGGCGGGGUAAAGGCCCACCAAGGCGACGAUCCGUAGCUGGUCUGAGAGGAUGAUCAGCCACACUGGAACUGAGACACGGUCCAGACUCCUACGGGAGGCAGCAGUGGGGAAUAUUGGGCAAAGGGCGCAAGCCUGAUCCAGCCAUACCGCGUGAGUGAAGAAGGCCUUCGGGUUGUAAAGCCCUUUUGUUGGGAAAGAAAAGCAGCAGGUGAAUACCCCGCUGUUCUGACGGUACCCAAAGAAUAAGCACCGGCUAACUUCGUG
RNAcentral lists this ribosomal RNA (492 nucleotides) under uncultured bacterium. RNAcentral describes it as "partial 16S ribosomal RNA". It matches the Rfam family "Bacterial small subunit ribosomal RNA", at positions 28 to 507 of the family's 1533-position model. The record is from RNAcentral.